Molecule: ribosomal RNA, 468 nt
Filed under: uncultured bacterium
Lineage: Bacteria
Description: partial 16S ribosomal RNA
Rfam family: Bacterial small subunit ribosomal RNA
Source: RNAcentral
GACGAACGCUGGCGGCGUGCUUAACACAUGCAAGUCGAACGGCAAGGCCCUGCUUUUGUGGGGUGCUCGAGUGGCGAACGGGUGAGUAACACGUGAGUAACCUGCCCUUGACUUUGGGAUAACUUCAGGAAACUGGGGCUACUACCGGAUAGGAGCUCCUGCUGCAUGGUGGGGGUUGGAAAGUUUCGGCGGUUGGGGAUGGACUGGCGGCUUAUCAGCUUGUUGGUGGGGUAGUGGCUUACCAAGGCUUUGACGGGUAGCCGGCCUGAGAGGGUGACCGGCCACAUUGGGACUGCGAGACGGCCCAGACUCCUACAGGAGGCAGCAGUGGGGAAUAUUGUACAAUGGGCGGAAGCCUGAUGCAGCAACGCCGCGUGCGGGAUGACGGCCUUCGGGUUGUAAACCGCUUUCGCCUGUGACGAAGCGUGAGUGACGGUAAUGGGUAAAGAAGCACCGGCUAACUACGUG